GAUCCUGGCUCAGGAUGAACGCUAGCUACAGGCUUAACACAUGCAAGUCGAGGGCAGCAUUUCAGUUUGCUUGCAAACUGGAGAUGGCGACCGGCGCACGGGUGAGUAAACACGUAUCCAACCUGCCGAUAACUCGGGGAUAGCCUUUCGAAAGAAAGAUUAAUACCCGAUGGCAUAAUUAGACCGCAUGGUCUUAUUAUUAAAGAAUUUCGGUUAUCGAUGGGGAUGCGUUCCAUUAGG
Molecule: ribosomal RNA, 240 nt
Filed under: uncultured bacterium
Lineage: Bacteria
Description: partial 16S ribosomal RNA
Rfam family: Bacterial small subunit ribosomal RNA
Source: RNAcentral